RNAcentral lists this ribosomal RNA (821 nucleotides) under Helictopleurus giganteus. Its description in RNAcentral is "SSU rRNA". It matches the Rfam family "Eukaryotic small subunit ribosomal RNA", at positions 472 to 1254 of the family's 1831-position model. Lineage: Eukaryota; Metazoa; Arthropoda; Insecta; Coleoptera; Scarabaeidae. RNAcentral also lists the same sequence under 5 other names. The record is from RNAcentral.
CAAAAAUAACGAUACGGGACUCAUCCGAGGCCCCGUAAUCGGAAUGAGUACACUCUAAACCCUUUAACGAGGAUCAAUUGGAGGGCAAGUCUGGUGCCAGCAGCCGCGGUAACACCAGCUCCAAUAGCGUAUAUUAAAGUUGUUGCGGUUAAAAAGCUCGUAGUCGAAUUUGUGUCCCGCGCCGCCGGUUCAUCGCUCGCGGUGUUAACUGGCGUGUCCGCGGGACGUCCUGCCGGUGGGCUUAGCUUUCGGGCGGCCCAAUCUCAAUCCCACCGCGGUGCUCUUUACUGAGUGUCGAGGUGGGCCGGCACGUUUACUUUGAACAAAUUAGAGUGCUUAAAGCAGGCUAAAAUAUCGCCUGAAUACUGUGUGCAUGGAAUAAUGGAAUAGGACCUCGGUUCUAUUUUGUUGGUUUUCGGAACCCCGAGGUAAUGAUUAAUAGGAACGGAUGGGGGCAUUCGUAUUGCGACGUUAGAGGUGAAAUUCUUGGAUCGUCGCAAGACGGACAGAAGCGAAAGCAUUUGCCAAAAACGUUUUCAUUGAUCAAGAACGAAAGUUAGAGGUUCGAAGGCGAUCAGAUACCGCCCUAGUUCUAACCAUAAACGAUGCCAGCUAGCGAUCCGCCGACGUUCCUCCGAUGACUCGGCGGGCAGCUUCCGGGAAACCAAAGCUUUUGGGAUCCGGGGGAAGUAUGGUUGCAAAGCUGAAACUUAAAGGAAUUGACGGAAGGGCACCACCAGGAGUGGAGCCUGCGGCUUAAUUUGACUCAACACGGGAAACCUCACCAGGCCCGGACACCGGAAGGAUUGACAGAUUGAGAG